GAUGAACGCUAGCUACAGGCUUAACACAUGCAAGUCGAGGGGAAACAACAUCGAAAGCUUGCUUUUGAUGGGCGUCGACCGGCGCACGGGUGAGUAACGCGUAUCCAACCUGCCCACCACUUGGGGAUAACCUUGCGAAAGUAAGACUAAUACCCGAUGAUAUCUCUAGAAGACAUCUGAAAGGGAUUAAAGAUUUAUCGGUGAUGGAUGGGGAUGCGUCUGAUUAGCUUGUUGGCGGGGUAACGGCCCACCAAGGCAACGAUCAGUAGGGGUUCUGAGAGGAAGGUCCCCCACAUUGGAACUGAGACACGGUCCAAAACUCCUACGGGAGGCAGCAGUGGGGAAUCUUCCGCAAUGGGGCGAAAGCCCUGACGGAGCAACGCCGCG
Molecule: ribosomal RNA, 387 nt
Filed under: uncultured bacterium
Lineage: Bacteria
Description: bacterial SSU rRNA
Rfam family: Bacterial small subunit ribosomal RNA
Source: RNAcentral